This 185-nucleotide ribosomal RNA is filed under the name uncultured Streptococcus sp. RNAcentral's name for it is "partial 16S ribosomal RNA". It matches the Rfam family "Bacterial small subunit ribosomal RNA", at positions 1198 to 1363 of the family's 1533-position model. Lineage: Bacteria; Bacillati; Bacillota; Bacilli; Lactobacillales; Streptococcaceae. The record is from RNAcentral.
CCCCUUAUGACCUGGGCUACACACGUGCUACAAUGGUUGGUACAACGAGUUGCGAGUCGGUGACGGCGAGCUAAUCUCUUAAAGCCAAUCUCAGUUCGGAUUGUAGGCUGCAACUCGCCUACAUGAAGUCGGAAUCGCUAGUAAUCGCGGAUCAGCACGCCCGCGGUCCGAAUAGUUCCGGCCUU